UAUCCCCUCCAGAACUCCGCAGUAAGAUCAGAAUUCCAGAGAGAGAAGGAUUCGGAGUUUGGGUGCAUCGGAUCGACGGUGGAGGAUGCUGAAUGUGUUCGAUCGGACGGUGGCGAAGAGCCCCGAGGGGCUGCGGAACAUGGAGUCGGGGCCGGGGGAGAAUGGCCGGCGUCGGCGAAGUGGCCUCCCUGGCGGACCACUUCGUAGCCACUCGCGACGGGGCGGUGACCAUAAGACUCGGCUCUUCCGGUUCCAUGGCGUAAAUGGUGGAGAAGCAGAACCCCCUCCUCCCCAGGGGUAUUGAGAAUAAGAGGCAGUUCUUAUCAUGCAAGGGGUGCACUGCACUCAAGUACAGAAGUCUAUUUCUCUGUAAAAUUCAUAUAGCUGUUUUCCAUUUCUGAAGAUACAUGUACAUUACUACAAACAAAUGUCCACCAUUAUAUGUUGUUAGUGAAUGAUGGAUACAAAGGACAAAUAAGUAGUAAACCUUGUACCAACAGUUGGUGAAUGGGGAUUGUCAUGUUCUUUUUAUUCUUAUUAUGUCUCAUUAUUAUUUUGCUUUCCCUCAACUGGAAUCAAUAGCCAAUUUGAUGUUUAAAAUUCAUGUUUUCCUCCUUUUUUUUAUUAAAAAAAACCUUUUUUAAUCUCUGUUUCACUCAUUUUAACUUUGUCAGUGAUCCUCAGAGGCAAUGUCCACAUCCUUCGUAAUUUUUUUGCUUCACUUGGUUCUCACCUAUUAACAUUAUUAGCAAUGUUAUGGUAGCAUUCCCUUUUACUGGGGAACUGAUUCAGGAGACCAUGUUGUUCUUUUUGAGGAUGUGGAUAUCAUAAAAAAUAUCUGUGGAAAAUCAUUUGCACCAUUCCCAGAAGGUAUAAUACAGAAAACAGUUAUAGAUAAUAAAGCUAUCAAGUCCCAUAGUGAGCUUUGUUUCCUAUUCCAUAUAUGGCCUUAGUAAUUUUGUGAUGUUUCAACCAGUUGCUUCUUCACGACCUCAAGGGGAUUGCAGAGUUUUGCACAUCUUUUGAGUGAGGUGAAGUUCAUGCCAAGCAUGGUACGCUAUGCUGGCCCGAACCGGAAAAUAUAUAUGGCGUACCAUACCAUUUCGGUACUGACACUCGGUACGGAUGGCAUACCGAGUACCAGUUCGGUACCGACACUCGGUAUAGGUGGCAUACAUACACUCGGUAUGCCAAAAAGUUCCAUACUGUACCGUAUCGAUACUGUGCUAGUAUGGCACCGAUACGAGGUCCAGUACCGAGAUGACGAACCUUGAUGCCAAGGGUUGACAGCUAAGGGCAGGUGUGCGGGGCUACAUAUGAGAUUGAUGCUGAAACUAAGAAGGAAUCAGGCAUGCCAAGGGUUGACAGUGCUGCAAGCUGGUCUUCUCACUACUAAUCUACUGAGUACCAUCUACUAGGCUUUUCUUGCUUUUGCCUUUGGUAAUAGUUUACCUAUGCUUUGACUUUCUGGUCCUUUAUGGAAUGUUUUAUGAAUAAAUGGGGAACUUUAUUGCACAAAGAGUUGAGCUUUAUGUGAGUCCACUCUAUCAUUGGGACCACCUAUAAUUGUUCCAUAUCCAUGCAGGAAGUGAAACUCAAUGUUUAUUAAAGAUUCUUGCAACCAUGCGUUAUAGUUUGUAGUGCUACUAAUUGAAUAAUGCAGAUGCCUUCAUUUAUCAUAUCCUCAGAGGUACCUUAGAUGUACCCUAAGAAAAGAAGUUUUUUGGGUUGUUGAAUAUGAUCUUCGGAAACAGAUUGUCUAGCUUAAUUUUAUUUUAUAGAUUGCGUCCUGUAAACCAUAAUAAAGUUUGGAAGGUGUUAAAGCAAGACUUGAGCAGUAUAAAGUAGCUUCGGUUGUAUGUGUUGUUUUGGUGGAAGAGGGGUGUCAAGCUGAUGCUCACAUCAAUGCUUAUGUCUGUAAUGAGGAUGCCUGCUGGUGGAUGCAUGAUGGGAAUCAAGGAAAUGGAAUUAUCAUCCAACUAGUGUUUUACCAACCUAAGUGACAUUUUGCAGCUUGAUGUCUGCAACUUAUAGUAUUUUGAUAUCUAUUGACUUUAAUUGCUAAUUUUAUAAAAUAUUUGAUGUCUUAUUGACUUUUAAUUGCUAAUUUUAUAUAAUUUUGAUGUCUGCAGUGGCAUUGUUUCUUGUUUUCUCUCACUUUGUUGAUUUGUUGAUGUGCUUCCUGCUUUGUAUAAUCUAAUGUCUACUGGGUACCAACCACAAGUAGGGUGGCAAUGGAGGCUAACAGCCUGCUGAUCCACUCAACUUCCAGAAAAAAAUUAGAUCCAAUAUGGAUAUCACUCUGGAGACCUGAUACAUGAGUUCAAUUAUAACAGUUUUUUUGUUAAAUAAUUUGCAAAUGCUUGUCCAUUAUGUAUUCAUACAAAAAUCAUAUAUGUCAUCACCCGAUGUUUGAUUCAAA
This is a non-coding RNA of Phoenix dactylifera (date palm), 2422 nucleotides long. Lineage: Eukaryota; Viridiplantae; Streptophyta; Magnoliopsida; Arecales; Arecaceae. The record is from RefSeq and is a predicted model, not a curated record.